GACAGAGGGUGCAAACGUUGUUCGGAAUUACUGGGCGUAAAGCGAGUGUAGGCGGUUUCCUAAGUCAGGUGUGAAAGCCCCGGGCUCAACCCGGGAAGUGCACUUGAAACUGGGAGGCUAGAGUAUCGGAGAGGUUGAUGGAAUUCUCGGUGUAGAGGUGAAAUUCGUAGAUAUCGAGAGGAACACCGGUGGCGAAGGCGGCCAACUGGACGAAUACUGACGCUGAGACGCGAAAAGCGUGGGUAGCAAACAGG
This 254-nucleotide ribosomal RNA is filed under the name uncultured bacterium. RNAcentral's name for it is "partial 16S ribosomal RNA". It matches the Rfam family "Bacterial small subunit ribosomal RNA", at positions 524 to 776 of the family's 1533-position model. The record is from RNAcentral.